AUAGCUGAUUGCACCAACAAAUGGUUGAUGCAAUAUUGACUCUGUCAAAUAAAAUUCUAGGUAGAAUUAUGAUAAUGACAUUGUCUGCCUAUAUGUCUUGACCAAAUUACGUGCCAGCAGUCGCGGUAAUACGUAGAAGACUAGUGUUAUUCAUCUUUAAUAGGUUUAAAGGGUACCUAGACGGUAAAUCAAGCCUUCACAGGGACUAAUUUACUAGAGUUACUUACGAGGGGGUAUUAAAGUACUGCAGGUGUAGAGAUGAAAUUCUGUCAUACCUCUUUUCAAAAGAAAAAUUAUGGCACAGGUAUAGGUGAAAGCAUCCCCUUAUGUGAUAACUGACGUUGAAGGACGAAGGCUUUGUGUCGCGAACAGGAUUAGAUACCCCAGUAGUCAAAGCAGAAAAUGAUGAAUGUCAUAGAUUAGAUAUAUAGUUUAUUCUAUAAAUGAAAAUGUAAGCAUUCCACCUCAAGAGUAAUUUGGCAACAUUGGAACUGAAAUCAUUAGACCGUUUCUGAAACCAGUAGUGAAGUAUGUUGUUUAAUUUGAUGAUCCGCAAAAAACCUUACCACAAUUUGAAUAUUUGUAUCUAUCUUUUUUUCGUAAAGAAAUAAAAAGCUAAUAUAUUUACAAGCGUUGCACGGCUGUCUUCAGUUAAUGUCGCGAGACUUUGGUUAGUUCCAUUUAAUUAACGUAAACCCUUACUUUAUUUUUAUAUGAAGUAGUUCCCCGCUAUAUUGGAUAUGAUAACAGGGACUAGGACAAGUCAUCAUGGCCUUAAUAUUGU
This 784-nucleotide ribosomal RNA is filed under the name Lepraria vouauxii. Its description in RNAcentral is "SSU rRNA". It matches the Rfam family "Bacterial small subunit ribosomal RNA", at positions 378 to 1210 of the family's 1533-position model. Lineage: Eukaryota; Fungi; Ascomycota; Lecanoromycetes; Lecanorales; Stereocaulaceae. The record is from RNAcentral.